CAUCCAAGAAGCUUCUUCAGUUCUGACUAAAGAACUGAAGCAGCUUUCAGGAUGAGAAGCGAAAUGUUUUCAAAGAAAAAAAAUCUAAGAAAGUCCGAUUGCCUUUCAAAAAAAAGCACCUUCGGGACUACUAGAUACAAGGUGAACAAGGCAUCGGCCCAGCCUUACCUCUUUCUAAGAUGAUUGUAAGAAACAGAUCAUGUCUUCUCUCUGUUAGUAGCUAAAUCGGCUGGUUCUAACAGAAUUAAGUGCUAACUGGCAAUAGCUGGAUGUAAACUUCCUGUAAUUUCGCAUACUACUAUCACGUAAUUCAUUAAUGAAAGGGAAGAGAAGGAAA
Pseudonaja textilis is the source of this 337-nucleotide non-coding RNA. NCBI's taxonomy places the organism in Eukaryota, Metazoa, Chordata, Lepidosauria, Squamata, Elapidae. The record is from RefSeq and is a predicted model, not a curated record.